This 408-nucleotide ribosomal RNA is filed under the name uncultured bacterium. RNAcentral describes it as "partial 16S ribosomal RNA". It matches the Rfam family "Bacterial small subunit ribosomal RNA", at positions 28 to 526 of the family's 1533-position model. The record is from RNAcentral.
GACGAACGCUGGCGGCGCGCCUAACACAUGCAAGUCGAGCGAAGCGGCGAACGGGUGAGUAACGCGUGAGGAACCUGCCUCUCACAACGGGAUAGCCUCGGGAAACCGGGAUUAAUACCGUAUGGUGAGAGAUGGCCUCGCGUUUGAUUAGUUAGUUGGUGGGGUAACGGCCUACCAAGACGACGAUCAGUAACCGGCCUGAGAUGGUGAACGGUGAAAUUGGAACUGAGAAACGGUCCAAACGCUGACGCGGGGCAGCAGUGGGGAAUCUUGCACAAUGGGGGGAACCCUGAUGCAGCGACGCUGCGUGAGCGAUGAAGGUUUUCGAAUCGUAAAGCGCUGUCCUAUGGGAAGCGGUACCAUAGGAGGAAGCCCCGGCUAACUACGUGCCAGCAGCCGCGGUAAUUC